Molecule: ribosomal RNA, 460 nt
Filed under: uncultured bacterium
Lineage: Bacteria
Description: partial 16S ribosomal RNA
Rfam family: Bacterial small subunit ribosomal RNA
Source: RNAcentral
CCUACGGGAGGCAGCAGUGGGGAAUAUUGCUCAAUGGGCGAGAGCCUGAACCAGCCACGUCGCGUGAAGGAUGACUGCCUUACGGGCUGUAACCUUUUUUUAUAAGGGAAUAAAGUGAGGCACGUGUGCCUUUUUGUAUGUACUUUAUGUAUAAGGCACGGCUAACUCCGUGCCAGCAGCCGCGGUAAUACGGUGGAUCCGAGCGUUAUCCGGAUUUAUUGGGUUUAAAGGGAGCGUAGAUGGGUUGUUAAGUCAGUUGUGAAAGUUUGCGGCUCAACCGUAAAAGUGCAAUUGAUACUGGCAGUCUUGAGUACAGUUGAGGUAAGCGGAAUUCGUGGUGUAGCGGUGAAAUGCGUAGAUAUCACGAAGAACACCAAUGGCGAAGGCAGCUUACUAAACUGCCACUGACAUUGAUGCGCGAAAGUGUGGGUAGCAAACAGGAUUAGAUACCCCAGUAGUC